RNAcentral lists this ribosomal RNA (684 nucleotides) under uncultured bacterium. Its description in RNAcentral is "bacterial SSU rRNA". It matches the Rfam family "Bacterial small subunit ribosomal RNA", at positions 56 to 719 of the family's 1533-position model. The record is from RNAcentral.
UGCAAGUCGAACGCGAAAGAACCUUCGGGUUUCAAGUAGAGUGGCGUCCGGGUGAGUAACACGUAGGUAAUCUACCUUCGGGUGGGGAAUAACGCAGGGAAACUUGCGCUAAUACCGCAUAAUGCAGCGGCACCACAUGGUGACAGUUGUUAAAGCGGGGGAUUUUCGGACCUCGCGCCUGAAGAGGAGCCUGCGGCAGAUUAGCUAGUUGGUAAGGUAACGGCUUACCAAGGCGACGAUCUGUAGCCGGCCUGAGAGGGCGGUCGGCCACACUGACACUGACAUACGGGUCAGACUCCUACGGGAGGCAGCAGUCGGGAAUUUUGGGCAAUGGGCGAAAGCCUGACCCAGCAACGCCGCGUGAAGGAUGAGAUCCUUCGGGAUGUAAACUUCGCAAGAAUGGGAAGAAUAGACGAGUACUAACACUGCUCGUGAUGACGGUACCAUUUGUAAGCUCCGGCUAACUCCGUGCCAGCAGCCGCGGUAAUACGGGGGGAGCAAGCGUUGUUCGGAUUUACUGGGCGUAAAGGGCGCGUAGGCGGCCAGCGCAAGUCAGUUGUGAAAUCUCCGGGCUUAACUCGGAAAGGUCAACUGAUACUGCGCGGCUAGAGUGCAGAAGGGGCAACUGGAAUUCUCGGUGUAGCGGUGAAAUGCGUAGAUAUCGAGAGGAACACCUGCGGCGAA